RNAcentral lists this ribosomal RNA (501 nucleotides) under uncultured bacterium. RNAcentral describes it as "bacterial SSU rRNA". It matches the Rfam family "Bacterial small subunit ribosomal RNA", at positions 899 to 1397 of the family's 1533-position model. The record is from RNAcentral.
ACUCAAAUGAAUUGACGGGGACCCGCACAAGCAGCGGAGCGUGUUGUUUAAUUCGAAGAUACUCGAAGAACCUUACCAAGACUUGACAUCCUCUGACCGCCGUAGAAAUACGGUUUUCGUAGCAAUACGACAGGGAGACAGGUGGUGCAUGGUUGUCGUCAGCUCGUGUCGUGAGAUGUUGGGUUAAGUCCCGCAACGAGCGCAACCCCUACGAUUAGUUGCCAAUAUUAAGUUAGGAACUCUGAUCGGACUGCCGUGGAUAUAACACGGAGGAAGGCGGGGAUGACGUCAAAUCAUCAUGCCCCUUACGUCUUGGGCUACAAACGCGCUACAAUGGCGAUUACAAAGAGCAGCGAAGCCGUGAGGCAGAGCAAAUCUCAAAAAAGUCGUCUCAGUUCGGAUUGUGGGCUGCAACCCGCCCACAUGAAGUUGGAGUUGCUAGUAAUCCCGAAUCAGCAUGUCGGGGUGAAUGCGUUCCCGGGUCUUGUACACACCGCCCGU